UAAGUCGUCCAACACCACCCCUCCCUCCCCCCUCGAGGAAAAAGAUGGCGGGUAUUCAAGCUAAAAGGGAGACACUUGUGUGGACUGAUGACGAAGUAGAACUGCUGCUUCGGGUCACACUUGACUACAAGACGACCAAACUGCAGGAGAAUGUUAACUGGGAGUCCUGCCAGUCCAAAUAUAGCGAUAUAAUGGACGCAUUUCUGGCGCAGUAUCCGAGGCAUCCGACCAACAAGGAUUUCCCUCACGAAGUUAACACCAUAACAAAAGCCCAGGUAACCGCCAAGGUAAAGAACAUACGAAGCAAAUUCAGACUGGCAGUGGAAACUGGUCGUCGGUGUGGCCAAGGGCGUGUGGUGCUCUUGUUUUUCGAGCUCUUAGAAGAGAUUUGGGGUAAGUCGUUUGCCACGCGCUCCAUCGACGCUGGUUUUGAGACUGGGGACCUGGAAGAAACGUCUUCCAUGCAAAGUUCAUCCCCGACUUUGGAGCUUUCUACCGAUUCGCCACACUCCAUCGAAUCACGCAGUAGUCUGCCUUCAAACCAGCGCAAGGAUGUGUUCCAGGCAAAGCUGACCACCCACAGAAGUGACCGGCCGAAGAGAAAACUUCCAACUGACCCUGCAGUGCAGGAAGACCUAAGAAUAAAAAAGAAAAUGUUGGAGAUAAUGGAGGAAUCGGCCAGACGCAACGCAGACAACAUGCAGCAGAUAAAUAGGAACAUUGCCAACAUUACAAGCAUUAUUCAGGAAGGUUUUUCUCUGAUGAGGCAAUUACUUGUCCAACCUCCCAGCACAUACCCCCACAGUACCAGCAGUGGAUAUGGACAAUGCAACGGACACUCACCAGCAUUCAUACAUAAAAGCCCACCCCUUACUACACCAGCCAGUCUGGGCCAAGAGGACCUAAAACAACCUCAUAUUAAAGAGGAACAUGUGGAAAAUGACAUCACAGAAUUUACAGCAAGUUCUGCCAUUGUGAAAAGUGAAGAUGAUGACAAAAAUCCUCAGUCUUCAGAAGUCAGUCACAUUCUGACUGAUGUGGACAGAGACUCUAUGGUAAAACUAGAAUGAGAUUCAGAUCUGCAUUUAUAAUCAGAUGCAAGACAAAAGUAUUGCAAAUGGUUUUAAAUAAUGGUGCAGAAGCCUAAAUUUUUAAUUUCACUCAAUGCAUCAUCUACUUUCUCUUUGUUUCUUCGAUCACCCUGUCCACUUCCAUCACAUCUAUAUUGGAGGAGGAAAACGUGUGACACAGGGCUCUUCAGCUCCAGUCCUCAACAGCUACUGUCCUGCAGGUUAAAGACACUUCCGUACUCCAGAACACCAGAUUCAUAUGAAAUGGAUCUAAGAGCUUGUCAGCCUCUGCACAGUGACCCAUUAAUUUGAGUCAAGUAUUUUGAAGCAAGAAAACAUCUAAAGCCUGCAGCACAGUGGCCCUUGGAGGCCUUAGUUAAAGAUUUUUUCUGAGGUUUGAACCU
Molecule: RNA transcript, 1474 nt
Organism: Melanotaenia boesemani (Boeseman's rainbowfish)
Lineage: Eukaryota; Metazoa; Chordata; Actinopteri; Atheriniformes; Melanotaeniidae
Exons: 3
Source: RefSeq, a predicted model, not a curated record